CCGCGUGAGUGAAGAAGGCCUUUGGGUUGUAAAGCUCUUUCGUCGGGGAAGAAAAUGACUGUACCCGAAUAAGAAGGUCCGGCUAACUUCGUGCCAGCAGCCGCGGUAAUACGAAGGGACCUAGCGUAGUUCGGAAUUACUGGGCUUAAAGAGUUCGUAGGUGGUUAAAAAAGUUGGUGGUGAAAUCCCAGAGCUUAACUCUGGAACUGCCAUCAAAACUUUUUAGCUAGAGUAUGAUAGAGGAAAGCAGAAUUUCUAGUGUAGAGGUGAAAUUCGUAGAUAUUAGAAAGAAUACCAAUUGCGAAGGCAGCUUUCUGGAUCAUUACUGACACUGAGGAACGAAAGCAUGGGUAGCGAAGAGGAUUAGAUACCCUCGUAGUCCAUGCCGUAAACGAUGUGUGUUAGACGUUGGAAAUUUAUUUUCAGUGUCG
Molecule: ribosomal RNA, 431 nt
Filed under: uncultured Pelagibacterales bacterium
Lineage: Bacteria; Pseudomonadati; Pseudomonadota; Alphaproteobacteria; Candidatus Pelagibacterales
Description: bacterial SSU rRNA
Rfam family: Bacterial small subunit ribosomal RNA
Source: RNAcentral